AGAGUUUGAUCCUGGCUCAGGAUGAACGCUGGCGGCGUGCCUAAUACAUGCAAGUCGAACGAGGUGCUUUUGUAGCAAUACGAGAGUAUCCUAGUGGCGAACGGGUGAGUAACGCGUUGGUGACCUACCCCAAAGUGUGGGAUAACAGUCCGAAAGGAUUGCUAAUACCGCAUGUGGUUAUUGGAUCUAGAAACCGAUAACUAAAGGAGCAAUUCGCUUUGGGAGGGACCUGCGUCCCAUCAGCUAGUUGGUGAGGUAACGGCUCACCAAGGCUACGACGGGUAGGGGACCUGAGAGGGUGGCCCCCCACAAUGGAACUGAAACACGGUCCAUACACCUACGGGUGGCAGCAGUAGGGAAUAUUGCACAAUGGGCGAAAGCCUGAUGCAGCAACGCCGCGUGUGCGAUGAAGGCCUUCGGGUCGUAAAGCACUUUUCUGAGAGAUGAGAAAGGACAGUAUCUCAGGAAUAAGUCUCGGCUAACUACGUGCCAGCAGCCGCGGUAACACGUAGGAGGCGAGCGUUAUCCGGAUUCACUGGGCGUAAAGCGCGUGCAGGCGGUUUGGUAAGUUGAUCGUGAAAGCUCCCGGCUCAACUGGGAGAGGUCGUUCAAUACUACCGAACUAGAGAGUAGAAGAGGAAGAUGGAAUUCCCGGUGUAGUGGUGAAAUGCGUAGAUAUCGGGAGGAACACCAGUGGCGAAGGCGAUCUUCUGGUCUAUUUCUGACGCUCAGACGCGACAGCUAGGGUAGUAAACGGGAUUAGAGACCCCGGUAAUCCUAGCCGUAAACGAUGUGAACUUGGCGUCGGUGGCUUAAACACCAUCGGUGCCGAAGCAAACGCGAUAAGUUCACCGCCUGGGGACUACGGCCGCAAGGUUAAAACUCAAAGGAAUUGACGG
Molecule: ribosomal RNA, 899 nt
Filed under: uncultured bacterium
Lineage: Bacteria
Description: bacterial SSU rRNA
Rfam family: Bacterial small subunit ribosomal RNA
Source: RNAcentral